GCUGUGUUCAGCUCACAGCAGCACUUUCGGACAGGCACAGUGAGAGACAGCCUGUAGGGUCUUUGAUAAGGCCCCUGGGCUGUCUCUCAGUGUGCUACAAGCUCUCUGCUGCGGCCGGCCAAGGGGGUAAGUAUUUAAUAACAGGGGCCCGCAGAGGGUCGUGCGGGCCCCUCAGUGCAGGCUGGCUGGGGAGCUUGUUGAGCUCCUCAGCUGAGCCAUUACAAUGCUACAGGCAGGCGGGCCCCCAAGAGCCUCGGGCCCUCGGUCCAUGACCGAUGUGCCCGAGUGCUCAGUCCGCCCCUGA
Pelobates cultripes (western spadefoot toad) is the source of this 304-nucleotide non-coding RNA. Lineage: Eukaryota; Metazoa; Chordata; Amphibia; Anura; Pelobatidae. The record is from the annotation of a GenBank genome assembly.